Molecule: long non-coding RNA, 915 nt
Organism: Passer domesticus (house sparrow)
Lineage: Eukaryota; Metazoa; Chordata; Aves; Passeriformes; Passeridae
Exons: 3
Source: RefSeq, a predicted model, not a curated record
GGGGGUUUGGGUACCCCUGAACCUGGGGAAGGGGGGUGCCAGGGGUGUAGGUACCCCUGGGACUGGUGAAGGUGGGUGCCAGGGGCUGUGGGUACCCCUCAGCCUGGGGAAGGUGGGUGUGGGUACCCCUGAGCCUGGUGAAGGUGGGUGCCAGGGGUGUGGGUACCCCUGGGACUGGUGAAGGUGGGUUUGGGGGGCUUUGGGUACCCCUGACCCUGAUGAAAAUGGGUUUGAAGGGUCUGGGCACCCCGUGCCCCUGGAGCAGGUGGGUUUGGGGGGGACUGGGCACUCCCUCACCCUGUUGAAAAUGGGUUUGUGGGGCUUUGGGUACCCCCUGACCCUGCUGAAAAUGAAUUUGUGGGGGGUCUGGGCACCCCCUGCCCCUGAUAAAAAUGGGUUUGAAGCGUCUGGGCACCCCCUGCCCCUGAAGCAGAUGGAUUUGUGGGGGUCUAGGCACUUCCUGCCCCUGGAGCAGGUGGGUUUGGGGGGCUUUAGAUACCCCCUGACCCUGCUGAAAAUGACUUUGGGGGGCUUUGGGCACCCCUGCCCCUGGAGCAGGUGGGUUUGGGGGGCUUUGGGCACCCCUGCCUCUGGAGCAGGUGGGUUUGGGGGGCUUUGGGCACCCCCUGCCCCUGGAGCAGGUGGGUUGGGGGGUCUGGGCACCCCCUGCCCCUGAAGCAGAUGGAUUUGUGGGGGUCUAGGCACUGCCUGCCCCUGGAGCAGGUGGGUUUGGGGGGCUUUGGGCACCCCCUGAGCCUGGUGAGAAUGAUUUUGGGGGUCUCUGGGCACCCCUGCCCCUGGAGCAGGUGGGUUUGGGGGGCUUUGGGUACCCCCUGCCCCUGGAGCAGGUGGGUUUGGGGGGCUCUGGGCACCCCCUGGAGCAGGUGGGUUUGGGGGGCUUUGGGCACCCCCUGA